CAUAUUUAUUCAUCAUCAAUACAAAUAUAUAAUCAUACAAAAUACACAAUAAUAACAGGAUUCGGAAACAAGCUAUAUAUAGCUUAUAUUAAUCCGUUUCCUUGAAAUACCAACUCCAGUUAACUAUUACAUAAAAAUAGCAUGCAAUAUUACUAUGAUAUGGAACAAGAAUAAAUAAGUAACUAUAUAACUGAAAAAGAAAGGAGAAAAAAAAACUUAAUUUUAAAAUAAUGAAAAUAAAUACAAC
Molecule: long non-coding RNA, 247 nt
Filed under: Mytilus galloprovincialis (Mediterranean mussel)
Lineage: Eukaryota; Metazoa; Mollusca; Bivalvia; Mytilida; Mytilidae
Source: RNAcentral